CGGAGGGAUCAUUAAAGAGUUCUAUAACUCCCAAACCCAUGUGAACAUACCUAGCGUUGCCUCGGCAGGUCGCACCUACCUUGUAGCACCCUACCCUGUAGGGCCUACCCGGGAGGUGCGGGUAAGCCUGCCGGCGGCCCACCAAACUCUGUUUGAUAUUGAAUUCUGAACCUAUAACUAAAUAAGUUAAAACUUUCAACAACGGAUCUCUUGGUUCUGGCAUCGAUGAAGAACGCAGCGAAAUGCGAUAAGUAAUGUGAAUUGCAGAAUUCAGUGAAUCAUCGAAUCUUUGAACGCAUAUUGCGCCCAUUAGUAUUCUAGUGGGCAGGACCGUUCGAGCGUCAUUUCAACCCUUAAGCCUUCGUUGCUUAGUGUUGGGAGCCUACGGCAACGUAGCUCCUCAAAGUUAGUGGCGGAGUUAGUUCACACUCUAGACGUAGUAAUUUUUUAUCUCGCCUAUUAGUUGGACUAAUCCCCUGCCGUAAAACCCCCAAUUUAUCAAGGUUGACCUCGAAUCGGUUCAGACAAACUCGCUAAAUUGAAGCAUCUUAGUCAGCGAAGGAAAAGAAACCAACAGGGAUUGCCCUAGUAACGGCGAGUGAAGCGGCAACAGCUCAAAUUUGAAAUCUGGCCCUCGGGUCCGAGUUGUAAUUUG
Molecule: ribosomal RNA, 655 nt
Filed under: fungal endophyte
Lineage: Eukaryota; Fungi
Description: eukaryotic LSU rRNA
Rfam family: 5.8S ribosomal RNA (bases 191-344)
Source: RNAcentral